AAAAGAUUAAGUUAUUAAGGGCGCACGGUGGAUGCCUUGGCACUAGAAGCCGAUGAAGGACGUUACUAACGACGAUAUGCUUUGGGGAGCUGUAAGUAAGCUGUGAUC
This 108-nucleotide ribosomal RNA is filed under the name Staphylococcus chromogenes. Its description in RNAcentral is "partial 23S ribosomal RNA". It matches the Rfam family "Bacterial large subunit ribosomal RNA", at positions 1 to 104 of the family's 2925-position model. Lineage: Bacteria; Bacillati; Bacillota; Bacilli; Caryophanales; Staphylococcaceae. The record is from RNAcentral.